RNAcentral lists this non-coding RNA (923 nucleotides) under Phyllodytes melanomystax. Its description in RNAcentral is "partial 12S ribosomal RNA". It matches the Rfam family "Bacterial small subunit ribosomal RNA". The record is from RNAcentral. Lineage: Eukaryota; Metazoa; Chordata; Amphibia; Anura; Hylidae.
UAGUCCUAGCCUUGCAAUCAACUCUUACUUAACUUACACAUGCAAGUAUCCGCACCCCUGUGAAAACGCCCUUAAAUUCCCCCGGAAACAAGGAGCCGGUAUCAGGCACAAUUAUCAGCCCAAAACACCUAGCUAUGCCACAUCCCCACGGAAAUUCAGCAGUGAUUAAUAUUGUAAAUAAGCGACAGCUUGACUCAGUUAAAGUAAAAAGAGCCGGCAAAUCUGGUGCCAGCCGCCGCGGUUACACCAUUGAGGCUCAAGCUGAUUUUUUCGGCGUAAAGCGUGGUUAAAGUCACCAAAAUUAUAGCCAAACUAUAACUAAGCUGUAACACGCUUGUGUAUAGGAGAAUCAAAAACGAAAGUUACUAUAAUUAAAACAACUUGAACCCACGACAGUUGGGGUACAAACUGGGAUUAGAUACCCCACUAUGCCCUACCGUAAACUUUAAUCUACAUCUUCAUCGCCUGGGAACUACGAGCAAAGCUUAAAACCCAAAGGACUUGACGGUACCCCACAUCCACCUAGAGGAGCCUGUCCUAUAAUCGAUAAUCCCCGUUUAACCUCACCAUUUUUAGCCUUUAACAGCCUGUAUACCUCCGUCGUCAGCUUACCACGUGAGCGGCUCUUAGUGAGCUCAAUGUCAAUACACCAAUACGUCAGGUCAAGGUGCAGCAAAUAAGAUGGAAAGAGAUGGGCUACACUCUCUAAUUUAGAGUAUACGAAAAACUAUUUAUGAAAUCUAGUUAGAAGGAGGAUUUAGUAGUAAAAGAGGACAAGAGAGCCCCUUUUAACAUGGCACUGGGGUGUGUACACACCGCCCGUCACCCUCUUCAAAUACAAUAAAAAAGUUCAUAACACACUUAGACCUUAGAGAAGAGAUAAGUCGUAACAUGGUAAGUAUACCGGAAGGUGUGCUUGGAAA